AACCUGACUUGAAUGGGCCGAGCUAAACAUCCGCGCUUAAAUUGGUUCCAUAACAGUAAGUUGAGGAUCAUAUGAUCUUACUAAUUUGAGUCAGGUUUAAAUAGUCUAGAUAAUUGCGCGUACACGCCAUUCUUUAAAAGUUCUGAAAAUUCGAGCAUGGGUCAAUCGAUUUACUGUGGGCUACCAUGGCAACAAAAGAAAGCGAUGUUCAGGGCAACGGAACAGCGUUUGCUAUUGGAAACUUAAUGAAGAAUUUAAAGAUGUCAUCACCAAUAAAGGCAAUACAGCGGCAAUAAAUAAAGCAAGAGAGAAAGGUUGCUGAUCGUCUCAAUGCGUAAGUAGCGGUGUAAACUAUUUAAAAUACUUUAUCAACAUUUAAUGUGCGUCACAAUACAUUGCAAAGUUUAUGUGUGAAUAACAGUAACGUUAAUUGCUUUGACUCAGCAGCAACUUAAGUGAAGGAAAAAGAACCUUGCAGCAGGUGAAAAUAAAAUAUAAAAAUAUAGUUCAGAAUGGUAAGUAAAUCUAAUGGUAUGUAGAUAUGUAAUCAAUGCCAGCUUGAAGUUACAACUAUUCAGGUUUUUUUUUUUUUUGCAGUGACCAAAAAGAAGACUGAGAUUGCUGGCACUGGGGGAAGGCCACCACCAGCCAGCUUCACUCCUGCAGAGGAGCUGGCUUUGGAAAUUAAUAAAGGGAGGCCCGUCCUUGAGGGAAUAGAGGGGCGACAUCAUCUAAAAUGAUAUCACGUAGUAUAAGGAGUGAGUAUAUAAAAGAUUCUGUAUGCUUUAUGGAUCCAUCAGACAUCAUGUUGCCUGAUGCUGACACUGUUCUAGAGCCCUCUCAGUCUGGGACCACAUGUGACAAAGUGAGUAUUAAGAAAUGAAAACAAAGUGACAAGAGUAUUCAAUGAAAUAACUUAAAUGUUGCUACAUAACCCAGAAAACAUAAAAGGAGUGUAUAAAACGCUACCGCCUUAAACAAAUGGAAGCAAUUGAUAUCGACAUCCAGUAUAAAAAACUGAAGAUGAGGAAGUUGCUCAGAACAGCUACAGAAAAAUGCAAGUAGAAAUACCAUUUUUAAAAAGGAAAAGAAAAAAACUUUACCUUUUUGAUCAUUCACAACAUUUAUUUGAGUUUUCACCCCUAACAGGCAGAUUCACUCUGAAUAAA
Pimephales promelas (fathead minnow) is the source of this 1169-nucleotide non-coding RNA. The record is from RefSeq and is a predicted model, not a curated record. NCBI's taxonomy places the organism in Eukaryota, Metazoa, Chordata, Actinopteri, Cypriniformes, Leuciscidae.